This 392-nucleotide ribosomal RNA is filed under the name uncultured bacterium. RNAcentral describes it as "bacterial SSU rRNA". It matches the Rfam family "Bacterial small subunit ribosomal RNA", at positions 364 to 773 of the family's 1533-position model. The record is from RNAcentral.
UUGGGCAAUGGGCGAAAGCCUGACCCAGCAACGCCGCGUGAGGGAUGAAGUAUUUCGGUAUGUAAACCUCGAAAGAAUGGGAAGAAUAAAUGACGGUACCAUUUAUAAGCUCCGGCUAACUACGUGCCAGCAGCCGCGGUAAUACGUAGGCAGCAAGCGUUGUUCGGAGUUACUGGGCGUAAAGAGUGCGUUGGCGGUUUUCUAAGUUCGGGGUGAAAUCUCCCGGCUUAACUGGGAGGGUGCGCCGAAGACUGGGAAGCUGGAGUGUUGGAAAGGCAGGCGGAAUUCCUGGUGUAGCGGUGAAAUGCGUAGAUAUCAGGAGGAACACCGGCGGUGUAGACGGCUUGCUAGACCAUAACUGACGCUGAGGCACGAAAGCGUGGGUAGCAAAC